GUGAAUCAUCGAAUUUUUGAACGCAAAUUGCACUCUCCUCGGAGAGUAUGCCUGUUUGAGGGUCAGCCUAUAAAAAAUCGACAUCGUUGCUGUUUCGCGGUGGCGUUCGUCGGAAAUUGGGUCAUCUUAAAUCUUUUGGUUUUAAGCGACUUAAAUUUUUUUUUUGGUUUCAUUGACGUUUCUAAGAUUUUUUUUUUUUCCCGUUUUAGGUA
Molecule: unclassified non-coding RNA, 212 nt
Filed under: Funneliformis geosporum
Lineage: Eukaryota; Fungi; Glomeromycota; Glomeromycetes; Glomerales; Glomeraceae
Description: partial contains 5.8S ribosomal RNA and internal transcribed spacer 2
Rfam family: 5.8S ribosomal RNA (bases 1-65)
Source: RNAcentral